This 468-nucleotide ribosomal RNA is filed under the name uncultured bacterium. Its description in RNAcentral is "partial 16S ribosomal RNA". It matches the Rfam family "Bacterial small subunit ribosomal RNA", at positions 28 to 507 of the family's 1533-position model. The record is from RNAcentral.
GACGAACGCUGGCGGCGUGCUUAACACAUGCAAGUCGAACGGAAAGGCCCUGCUUUUGUGGGGUGCUCGAGUGGCGAACGGGUGAGUAACACGUGAGUAACCUGCCCUUGACUUUGGGAUAACUUCAGGAAACUGGGGCUAAUACCGGAUAGGAGCUCCUGCUGCAUGGUGGGGGUUGGAAAGUUUCGGCGGUUGGGGAUGGACUCGCGGCUUGUCAGCUUGUUGGUGGGGUAGUGGCUUACCAAGGCUUUGACGGGUAGCCGGCCUGAGAGGGUGACCGGCCACAUUGGGACUGGGAUACGGCCCGGACUCCUACGGGAGGCAGCAGUGGGGAAUAUUGCACAAUGGGCGGAAGCCUGAUGCAGCAACGCCGCGUGCGGGAUGACGGCCUUCGGGUUGUAAACCGCUUUCGCCUGUGACGAAGCGUGAGUGACGGUAAUGGGUAAAGAAGCACCGGCUAACUACGUG